UGGUUCUGGCAUNGAUGAAGAACGCAGCGAAAUGCGAUAAGUAAUGCGAAUUGCAGAAUUCAGUGAGUCAUCGAAUCUUUGAACGCAUAUUGCGCCCUUUGGCAUUCCGAAGGGCAUGCCUGUUCGAGCGUCAUUAUCAACCCUCAAGCUUAGCUUGUUAUUGGAUGAAAUUUUCUAUAAACGACAAUUCAUCCCAAAGGCAAUGGCGGUGUCUUUUGACCCUUGAUGCAACGAGCUUUUCAAAAGCACGCAUUUAAAGUGGUUAAUUGAUUCUUGACCUUUCUAUUAAAUUUUAAGGUUGACCUCGGAUCAGGUAGGAAUACCCGCUGA
This 330-nucleotide unclassified non-coding RNA is filed under the name uncultured fungus. Its description in RNAcentral is "partial contains 5.8S ribosomal RNA and internal transcribed spacer 2". The stretch from base 1 to 133 matches the Rfam family "5.8S ribosomal RNA", at positions 22 to 154 of the family's 154-position model. Lineage: Eukaryota; Fungi. The record is from RNAcentral.